This 253-nucleotide ribosomal RNA is filed under the name uncultured bacterium. RNAcentral's name for it is "partial 16S ribosomal RNA". It matches the Rfam family "Bacterial small subunit ribosomal RNA", at positions 524 to 776 of the family's 1533-position model. The record is from RNAcentral.
UACGUAGGGUGCAAGCGUUGUCCGGAAUCAUUGGGCGUAAAGCGCGUGUAGGCGGCUGAGUAAGUCUGCUCUGAAAGCCCGGGGCUCAACCCCGGGAGGCGGGUGGAUACUGCUCAGCUCGAGUCCGGAAGAGGAGUGUGGAAUUCCUGGUGUAGCGGUGAAAUGCGCAGAUAUCAGGAGGAACACCAAUGGCGAAGGCAGCACUCUGGGACGGUACUGACGCUGAGACGCGAAAGCAUGGGGAGCGAACGGG